UACAGAGGGUGCAAACGUUGCUCGGAAUUAUUGGGCGUAAAGCGCACGUAGGCGGUCUGUUAAGUUAGAUGUGAAAGCCCUGGGCUCAACCCAGGAAGUGCAUUUAAAACUGGCAGGCUUGAGUAUGGAAGAGGGUCGCGGAAUUCCCGGUGUAGAGGUGAAAUUCGUAGAUAUUCGCAAGAACACCAGUGGCGAAGGCGGCUCACUGGCCCGAUACUGACGCUGAGGCACGAAAGCGUGGGGAGCAAACAGG
This 253-nucleotide ribosomal RNA is filed under the name uncultured bacterium. Its description in RNAcentral is "partial 16S ribosomal RNA". It matches the Rfam family "Bacterial small subunit ribosomal RNA", at positions 524 to 776 of the family's 1533-position model. The record is from RNAcentral.